This 1490-nucleotide ribosomal RNA is filed under the name metagenome. Its description in RNAcentral is "bacterial SSU rRNA". It matches the Rfam family "Bacterial small subunit ribosomal RNA". The record is from RNAcentral.
AGAGUUUGAUCCCUGGCUCAGGAUGAACGCUAGCGACAGGCUUAACACAUGCAAGUCGAGGGGCAGCAUGAUUUGUAGCAAUACAGAUUGAUGGCGACCGGCGCACGGGUGAGUAACGCGUAUGCAACUUACCUAUCAGAGGGGGAUAGCCCGGCGAAAGUCGGAUUAAUACCCCAUAAAACAGGGGUCCCGCAUGGGAAUAUUUGUUAAAGAUUCAUCGCUGAUAGAUAGGCAUGCGUUCCAUUAGGCAGUUGGCGGGGUAACGGCCCACCAAACCGACGAUGGAUAGGGGUUCUGAGAGGAAGGUCCCCCACAUUGGUACUGAGACACGGACCAAACUCCUACGGGAGGCAGCAGUGAGGAAUAUUGGUCAAUGGCCGAGAGGCUGAACCAGCCAAGUCGCGUGAAGGAAGAAGGAUCUAUGGUUUGUAAACUUCUUUUAUAGGGGAAUAAAGUGGAGGACGUGUCCUUUUUUGUAUGUACCCUAUGAAUAAGCAUCGGCUAACUCCGUGCCAGCAGCCGCGGUAAUACGGAGGAUGCGAGCGUUAUCCGGAUUUAUUGGGUUUAAAGGGUGCGUAGGUGGUGAUUUAAGUCAGCGGUGAAAGUUUGUGGCUCAACCAUAAAAUUGCCGUUGAAACUGGGUUACUUGAGUGUGUUUGAGGUAGGCGGAAUGCGUGGUGUAGCGGUGAAAUGCAUAGAUAUCACGCAGAACUCCGAUUGCGAAGGCAGCUUACUAAACCAUAACUGACACUGAAGCACGAAAGCGUGGGGAUCAAACAGGAUUAGAUACCCUGGUAGUCCACGCAGUAAACGAUGAUUACUAGGAGUUUGCGAUACAAUGUAAGCUCUGCAGCGAAAGCGUUAAGUAAUCCACCUGGGGAGUACGCCGGCAACGGUGAAACUCAAAGGAAUUGACGGGGGCCCGCACAAGCGGAGGAACAUGUGGUUUAAUUCGAUGAUACGCGAGGAACCUUACCCGGGUUUGAACGUAGUCUGACCGGAGUGGAAACACUCUUUCUAGCAAUAGCAGAUUACGAGGUGCUGCAUGGUUGUCGUCAGCUCGUGCCGUGAGGUGUCGGCUUAAGUGCCAUAACGAGCGCAACCCUUAUCACUAGUUACUAACAGGUGAAGCUGAGGACUCUGGUGAGACUGCCAGCGUAAGCUGUGAGGAAGGUGGGGAUGACGUCAAAUCAGCACGGCCCUUACAUCCGGGGCGACACACGUGUUACAAUGGCAUGGACAAAGGGCAGCUACCUGGUGACAGGAUGCUAAUCUCCAAACCAUGUCUCAGUUCGGAUCGGAGUCUGCAACUCGACUCCGUGAAGCUGGAUUCGCUAGUAAUCGCGCAUCAGCCAUGGCGCGGUGAAUACGUUCCCGGGCCUUGUACACGCCGCCCGUCAAGCCAUGGGAGCCGGGGGUACCUGAAGUCCGUAACCGCAAGGAUCGGCCUAGGGUAAAACUGGUGACUGGGGCUAAGUCGUAACAAGGUA